GGGUUGUGAGGUUAAGCGAAUAAGCGUACACGGUGGAUGCCCUGGCAGUCAGAGGCGAUGAAGGACGUGCUAAUCUGCGAUAAGCGUCGGUAAGGUGAUAUGAACCGUUAUAACCGGCGAUUUCCGAAUGGGGAAACCCAGUGUGAUUCGUCACACUAUCAUUAACUGAAUCCAUAGGUUAAUGAGGCGAACCGGGGGAACUGAAACAUCUAAGUACCCCGAGGAAAAGAAAUCAACCGAGAUUCCCCCAGUAGCGGCGAGCGAACGGGGAGGAGCCCAGAGCCUGAAUCAGUGUGUGUGUUAGUGGAAGCGUCUGGAAAGGCGCGCGAUACAGGGUGACAGCCCCGUACACAAAAAUGCACAUGCUGUGAGCUCGAUGAGUAGGGCGGGACACGUGGUAUCCUGUCUGAAUAUGGGGGGACCAUCCUCCAAGGCUAAAUACUCCUGACUGACCGAUAGUGAACCAGUACCGUGAGGGAAAGGCGAAAAGAACCCCGGCGAGGGGAGUGAAAAAGAACCUGAAACCGUGUACGUACAAGCAGUGGGAGCACAGAGCAAUCUGUGUGACUGCGUACCUUUUGUAUAAUGGGUCAGCGACUUAUAUUCUGUAGCAAGGUUAACCGAAUAGGGGAGCCGAAGGGAAACCGAGUCUUAACUGGGCGUUAAGUUGCAGGGUAUAGACCCGAAACCCGGUGAUCUAGCCAUGGGCAGGUUGAAGGUUGGGUAACACUAACUGGAGGACCGAACCGACUAAUGUUGAAAAAUUAGCGGAUGACUUGUGGCUGGGGGUGAAAGGCCAAUCAAACCGGGAGAUAGCUGGUUCUCCCCGAAAGCUAUUUAGGUAGCGCCUCGUGAAUUCAUCUCCGGGGGUAGAGCACUGUUUCGGCAAGGGGGUCAUCCCGACUUACCAACCCGAUGCAAACUGCGAAUACCGGAGAAUGUUAUCACGGGAGACACACGGCGGGUGCUAACGUCCGUCGUGAAGAGGGAAACAACCCAGACCGCCAGCUAAGGUCCCAAAGUCAUGGUUAAGUGGGAAACGAUGUGGGAAGGCCCAGACAGCCAGGAUGUUGGCUUAGAAGCAGCCAUCAUUUAAAGAAAGCGUAAUAGCUCACUGGUCGAGUCGGCCUGCGCGGAAGAUGUAACGGGGCUAAACCAUGCACCGAAGCUGCGGCAGCGACGCUGAUGCGUUGUUGGGUAGGGGAGCGUUCUGUAAGCCUGUGAAGGUGUGCUGUGAGGCAUGCUGGAGGUAUCAGAAGUGCGAAUGCUGACAUAAGUAACGAUAAAGCGGGUGAAAAGCCCGCUCGCCGGAAGACCAAGGGUUCCUGUCCAACGUUAAUCGGGGCAGGGUGAGUCGACCCCUAAGGCGAGGCCGAAAGGCGUAGUCGAUGGGAAACAGGUUAAUAUUCCUGUACUUGGUGUUACUGCGAAGGGGGGACGGAGAAGGCUAUGUUGGCCGGGCGACGGUUGUCCCGGUUUAAGCGUGUAGGCUGGUUUUCCAGGCAAAUCCGGAAAACUAAGGCUGAGGCGUGAUGACGAGGCACUACGGUGCUGAAGCAACAAAUGCCCUGCUUCCAGGAAAAGCCUCUAAGCAUCAGGUAACAUCAAAUCGUACCCCAAACCGACACAGGUGGUCAGGUAGAGAAUACCAAGGCGCUUGAGAGAACUCGGGUGAAGGAACUAGGCAAAAUGGUGCCGUAACUUCGGGAGAAGGCACGCUGAUAUGUAGGUGAAGUCCCUCGCGGAUGGAGCUGAAAUCAGUCGAAGAUACCAGCUGGCUGCAACUGUUUAUUAAAAACACAGCACUGUGCAAACACGAAAGUGGACGUAUACGGUGUGACGCCUGCCCGGUGCCGGAAGGUUAAUUGAUGGGGUCAGCGCAAGCGAAGCUCUUGAUCGAAGCCCCGGUAAACGGCGGCCGUAACUAUAACGGUCCUAAGGUAGCGAAAUUCCUUGUCGGGUAAGUUCCGACCUGCACGAAUGGCGUAAUGAUGGCCAGGCUGUCUCCACCCGAGACUCAGUGAAAUUGAACUCGCUGUGAAGAUGCAGUGUACCCGCGGCAAGACGGAAAGACCCCGUGAACCUUUACUAUAGCUUGACACUGAACAUUGAGCCUUGAUGUGUAGGAUAGGUGGGAGGCUUUGAAGUGUGGACGCCAGUCUGCAUGGAGCCGACCUUGAAAUACCACCCUUUAAUGUUUGAUGUUCUAACGUUGACCCGUAAUCCGGGUUGCGGACAGUGUCUGGUGGGUAGUUUGACUGGGGCGGUCUCCUCCUAAAGAGUAACGGAGGAGCACGAAGGUUGGCUAAUCCUGGUCGGACAUCAGGAGGUUAGUGCAAUGGCAUAAGCCAGCUUGACUGCGAGCGUGACGGCGCGAGCAGGUGCGAAAGCAGGUCAUAGUGAUCCGGUGGUUCUGAAUGGAAGGGCCAUCGCUCAACGGAUAAAAGGUACUCCGGGGAUAACAGGCUGAUACCGCCCAAGAGUUCAUAUCGACGGCGGUGUUUGGCACCUCGAUGUCGGCUCAUCACAUCCUGGGGCUGAAGUAGGUCCCAAGGGUAUGGCUGUUCGCCAUUUAAAGUGGUACGCGAGCUGGGUUUAGAACGUCGUGAGACAGUUCGGUCCCUAUCUGCCGUGGGCGCUGGAGAACUGAGGGGGGCUGCUCCUAGUACGAGAGGACCGGAGUGGACGCAUCACUGGUGUUCGGGUUGUCAUGCCAAUGGCACUGCCCGGUAGCUAAAUGCGGAAGAGAUAAGUGCUGAAAGCAUCUAAGCACGAAACUUGCCCCGAGAUGAGUUCUCCCUGACUCCUUGAGAGUCCUGAAGGAACGUUGAAGACGACGACGUUGAUAGGCCGGGUGUGUAAGCGCAGCGAUGCGUUGAGCUAACCGGUACUAAUGAACCGUGAGGCUUAACCUUACAACGCCGAAGCUGUU
This 2932-nucleotide ribosomal RNA is filed under the name Escherichia coli. RNAcentral describes it as "bacterial LSU rRNA". It matches the Rfam family "Bacterial large subunit ribosomal RNA". RNAcentral also lists the same sequence under 1 other name. Lineage: Bacteria; Pseudomonadati; Pseudomonadota; Gammaproteobacteria; Enterobacterales; Enterobacteriaceae. The record is from RNAcentral.